This 278-nucleotide unclassified non-coding RNA is filed under the name uncultured fungus. RNAcentral's name for it is "partial contains small subunit ribosomal RNA, internal transcribed spacer 1, and 5.8S ribosomal RNA". The stretch from base 1 to 73 matches the Rfam family "Eukaryotic small subunit ribosomal RNA", at positions 1759 to 1831 of the family's 1831-position model. Lineage: Eukaryota; Fungi. The record is from RNAcentral.
GCAAACUUGGUCAUUUAGAGGAAGUAAAAGUCGUAACAAGGUUUCCGUAGGUGAACCUGCGGAAGGAUCAUUAACGAAUUUGCUUGAAAUGGGUUGAUGCUGGCUACGUUCUGUAGUAAGUGUGCUCACCCGGCUCAACAAAAUCCAUUCACACCUGUGAACUUAUUCAUUUCAUUUACAAACAUGAUUAUUAUUGAUGAACGUUAUAUGGGUUAUAUUAUUAUAAUACAACUUUCAACAACGGAUCUCUUGGCUCUCGCAUCGAUGAAGAACGCAGC